UCCAGACUCCUACGGGAGGCAGCAGUGGGGAAUAUUGCACAAUGGGCGAAAGCCUGAUGCAGCAACGCCGCGUGAAGGAAGACGGUUUUCGGAUUGUAAACUUCUUUUCUUAGUGAAGAAUAAUGACGGUAACUAAGGAGCAAGCCACGGCUAACUACGUGCCAGCAGCCGCGGUAAUACGUAGGGGGCAAGCGUUAUCCGGAUUUACUGGGUGUAAAGGGAGCGUAGACGGCAAUACAAGUCGGAAGUGAAAUACCCGGGCUCAACCUGGGAACUGCUUUGGAAACUGUAUGGCUGGAGUGCUGGAGAGGUAAGCGGAAUUCCUAGUGUAGCGGUGAAAUGCGUAGAUAUUAGGAGGAACACCAGUGGCGAAGGCGGCUUACUGGACAGUAACUGACGUUGAGGCUCGAAAGCGUGGGGAGCAAACAGGAUUAGAUUCCCGCGUAUU
Molecule: ribosomal RNA, 448 nt
Filed under: uncultured bacterium
Lineage: Bacteria
Description: bacterial SSU rRNA
Rfam family: Bacterial small subunit ribosomal RNA
Source: RNAcentral